GAAAUGCGAUAAGUAAUGUGAAUUGCAGAAUUCAGUGAAUCAUCGAAUCUUUGAACGCACCUUGCGCUCCUUGGUAUUCCUUGGAGCAUGCCUGUUUGAGUAUCAUGAAAUCUUCAAAGUAAAUCUUUUGUUAACUCAAUUGGUUUCUACUUUGGUAUUGGAGGUCUUUGCAGCUUCACACCUGCUCCUCUUUGUUCAUUAGCUGGAUCUCAGUGUUAUGCUUGGUUCCACUCGGCGUGAUAAGUUAUCUAUCGCUGAGGACACUGUAAAAGGUGGCCAAGGUAAAUGCAGAUGAACCGCUUCUAGUAGUCCAUUGACUUGAACAAUACUUUUAUGAUCUGAUCUCGAAUCAGGUAGGACUACCCGCUGAACUUAAGC
RNAcentral lists this unclassified non-coding RNA (378 nucleotides) under plant metagenome. RNAcentral's name for it is "partial contains 5.8S ribosomal RNA, internal transcribed spacer 2, and large subunit ribosomal RNA". The stretch from base 1 to 105 matches the Rfam family "5.8S ribosomal RNA", at positions 50 to 154 of the family's 154-position model. The record is from RNAcentral.